This 500-nucleotide ribosomal RNA is filed under the name uncultured bacterium. RNAcentral's name for it is "partial 16S ribosomal RNA". It matches the Rfam family "Bacterial small subunit ribosomal RNA", at positions 30 to 523 of the family's 1533-position model. The record is from RNAcentral.
AUUGAACGCUAGCGGCAGGCCUAACACAUGCAAGUCGAGCGGAUGAGUGGAGCUUGCUCCAUGAUUCAGCGGCGGACGGGUGAGUAAUGCCUAGGAAUCUGCCUGGUAGUGGGGGACAACGUUUCGAAAGGAACGCUAAUACCGCAUACGUCCUACGGGAGAAAGUGGGGGAUCUUCGGACCUCACGCUAUCAGAUGAGCCUAGGUCGGAUUAGCUAGUUGGUGAGGUAAAGGCUCACCAAGGCGACGAUCCGUAACUGGUCUGAGAGGAUGAUCAGUCACACUGGAACUGGGACACGGUCCAGACUCCUACGGGAGGCAGCAGUGGGGAAUAUUGGACAAUGGGCGAAAGCCUGAUCCAGCCAUGCCGCGUGUGUGAAGAAGGUCUUCGGAUUGUAAAGCACUUUAAGUUGGGAGGAAGGGCAGUAAGUUAAUACCUUGCUGUUUUGACGUUACCAACAGAAUAAGCACCGGCUAACUUCGUGCCAGCCGCCGCCGUAA